GGGCCUAGUAGCAAUAUCAAUGUUUCAGGAGAUAGUCUAGCUAGUAGUGGUUUGACAAGAAUAGCUUUAAGUUCUUCUAAAGUGUUGUUGCUCUAUCUACUUGCCAUAUCUACACAUAAGGAUUUUAAAAAGUGUAGUGCUACAUGAAUCCUACCAUGUACUACUUUGGUCACACCGUCAGUCAUAUCAACAUCUCCAUGUCUCCCUUGCAUAAGAUCCAUAUGCAAACCCAGAAGAAGUUCAUACGAUAGUUGGAGAAAAGUAGGGCUAGGCAUUAUUGCAUUUUGAAUAAGCACCAAGCUCAUAAUAGAAUAGUACUUACAUGUUAUAGUGUGGGUGCAACGCACAGCCAAAGAGGAGUCUGCAGCACCGCAAGAGCAGGGAAGAAAUCAAGAAAAUAGGGAGAGAUAAUUGGGAUAGUUUGUGCUUGCCUUGUUCAUCGAGAAUGCUACUCCCUCUGAUCCUAAAUUCUUGACUCAAAUUUGCCCAAAUAUGGAUGUAUCUAUUCUUAAAAAGCGUCUAGAUACAUGUAAUAUUUCGAAAACAAUUUAGGAUCCGAGGGAAUAGUUAUUAUAUAACCAGCUUACUAACUUGGGGGCUAAGCCAAACUAACAACUUUAGGAAAUAACUAACUUGAGAAUCAAACAAAUAUCUGCUAAAGCAAACUAGGGAUAGUUAGGGAUACUAUCCCCUUAAGUUCCUGCUGCGGCCCCCUCCUUGGUUGCCUUCUUGCGUUCUCCUGUAGGCUAGGUCCCACAUCACAUUACGUCCAUAUAUUAUACGAAUGCCUAUGAAUCAAAUUUCUUGAACUAACGAAUGAAAAAAUAUCUGUGGAAUCACCUUCCUUAUUUGUCUUGAUCUGAUACCUUUUUUGUCUGGAUUUUGCAGCUAAAUCAUGUAAAAAUAAUGUACACACAAUUCUUGCCUAUGACUAGAAUCCUUUGGCAUUGCUUUCUUAAAGUAGGAUGCCCCUCAAACCUUAAUUUUUUUAUGUGCUUGGGGUUAUUUACACCUUUUGUCUUCAUCUUACAAAAUUUGUUCCCAAUCUGCACAUAUACUUGGUCCUACAGCAGUAUGGCUGCACGAAGGAGAUAAGCUCAUGUCAUCUUUUAGUUACCACGUAUCAAUCAGGUCCAGGUUUUUGUCAGGAACAUGAUCCCUGGGAUUGUUCCCAAGUUGUUAGCCAGCUAUGAAAGGUCUGAUAAUCGAUGAGCAAUCAAAUUCUCCCCAAGUUAGUCCAUCACAUAUGUGAUCUAAUCUCAUCCCAAUCAAGCUGGCUCCACCUGUCCAUUCUCCUGCUGGUGUUUACCCCUGUUAUGUACUUCAGAACAUCACGAUAAAGCAUAACCGAAUCAAGUGGUUUGACCACCCGAUGAUUUUGGAAGAUGACAUUUCUGCUUCUCCUGUCAAGUCACCUAGCCAGUCUGACCAUCCCGACUCGGUGAAGCGACUCGACUAGUGAGCAAGUUGAGCGGCUCAUUGGCUAGCCGCCGGCUAGCUCCAACAAGAAACCCCAUGUCGCUUGACUUGGUGGCAUAUGUAUCACUCUUUGGAAAGGAUUUGGGGGAUAAGUUAGUCUCCAAGGCGAGCGUGGGCCCAAAGGUAGAGUCCCAAAUCGUGGAAAGAAGGGCGCACAAGAGGCCGUGUAAUCUAAAGCCCCCAAACCAUGUUUAUAUAUAGGGAAAAACACCUUUGUGCCACUUAAACUCAACAUAGUAUCCUUUUCACGUUGUAUCUCUGACAUGUGCUCUAGCAGUAGUAAAAAAGGAACUAUUUUGAAAGUUGAAAUUAUAUCCAAACUUUCAUCAGAGUUUUUAAGUCUAGAUACUCGGAUUAACUUAGCUCAGUUAAAGAUGAAUUUGU
Brachypodium distachyon (stiff brome) is the source of this 1863-nucleotide long non-coding RNA. RefSeq lists it as uncharacterized. The transcript has 2 exons. The record is from RefSeq and is a predicted model, not a curated record. Lineage: Eukaryota; Viridiplantae; Streptophyta; Magnoliopsida; Poales; Poaceae.